UCUAUGGAGAGUUUGAUCCUGGCUCAGGACGAACGCUGGCGGCGUGCCUAAUACAUGCAAGUCGAGCGGACGAAUCAAAAGCUUGCUUUUGAU
RNAcentral lists this ribosomal RNA (93 nucleotides) under Anoxybacillus mongoliensis. RNAcentral's name for it is "partial 16S ribosomal RNA". It matches the Rfam family "Bacterial small subunit ribosomal RNA", at positions 1 to 90 of the family's 1533-position model. RNAcentral also lists the same sequence under 1 other name. The record is from RNAcentral. Lineage: Bacteria; Bacillati; Bacillota; Bacilli; Caryophanales; Anoxybacillaceae.